GUUUGUCCAAGUUUUUGGGAGAUCAAAAGUACUUAUUUUUAAAAAGUAAGAUAUUUGGGGAGUAGCAGAAGUUGUUUUUUAGAAGUUAAAAACAUAAUUUUCCCCCAAAAACACUACUAUUUUUUAAAGCACUUUCAAGAAAAUACACUUAGAAGCACUUUUUAAAAGCUUGUUAAACACUAAUUGUUGUUCAAAAGUGUUUUUUAAACUCAUUGACCAAACAGAAACUGCUUCUCACCAAAUAUAAUUUUUUAAAAAGCAUUUUUUAAAAUAACUUGAUUUUAGAAGCUUGACCAAACAAGCUAUAUGUCUAUUAAACUUGAGGAAAACUAUAAAAAAAAAAAAAAAAAAAAAAAAAAAAAACAAGAUUUAGCUAGAAUGCCAUACAACUUUCAUCAAAUCCGAAAAACUACCAAAAAAAAACUACCGUAGACUCCAAAAAUUAAUCAAAAAUAGUAAAAUUGCAAUUUAAAAGCAAAACCAGACUCUAGAAAUUUAAAAAAAAAAAAUAGCAAAAAUCAAAAGCUUUACCUCCAGAUGUGAGUUCUUGCUAAACGUUUUUUUUUUUUUUUUUCGUAGUGUCCGUCAAAAUCUAAAUAUUCAUUUUUUACAACUGUACAGGACAAAAAAUGCUGGCAUUUGACUUUAUAAAAAGGUUGAGCAUUGACCUUAGAAAUAAGUUCCUUUUUAAAAUUUCAGUUAGCCUUCCCGCGUUGCAAUUGACUUUGACCCAAAAUAUAGAAAAAAUCAUACUAUAAAGCUCUGUGUAUAUAUUCAUUCAAUUGAAAAAUUGAACCCUUCAUUUUUUUGCAUCUCAUCAGAAAUUUAAUCCAUGGAUACUCAAAUUAUUCAAGGACAAUCACCUACUUCCCAGUUUUCUUAUGACAUAUUUCUGAGUUUCAUAGGUGAAGAUACCCGAAAAACCUUCACAGGUCAUCUUUAUUCUAGAUUGUGUCAAGCUGGAAUUAAUACGUUCAUAGAUGAUGAGGAUUUGAGAAAAGGUGAGUCGAUUUCGAAGGAAUUAGAGAAAUCAAUUGAAGAAUCCAAGGUGUCUAUUGAGGUUUUCUUGAAUGUAGAGAGAAGUUGAAGCAGAUAGUUUUGCCUGUUUUCUAUGAUGUUGAUCCUUCUCUUGUGAGAAAGCAAACUGGGUGUUUUGGUGAAGCUUUGGCUAGACACGUGGAACGAUCAUUUGGGGCUCGAAGAAUGGAGAAAUGGACGACUGCACUGAAGCUGCUGAUUUAUCUGGAUGGGAUUUGCGAAAUGUUGCUGACCGGUAUAGUUUCUUGAUUCAACUAUUUAGUUUUUAGUUUUAUUCCCUCCGUAUCAUAAUAAGUGAUACUUUUACCUUUUCAUUUUGUUUCAAAUAAGUGGUGUUUCACAUAAUCAAGAAGACAAUGAUUUUGUUCUUCCAAUUUUAGCCUUACUUAAAUAAAUUGAGUUUUACAUAACCAAGAAACUACUAAAGAACUACUUUUUUAAGGCAUUUAUCUUAUGGAAUUUGGGAAAUGUUGCUAACGGGUACAAUUUCUUAUUCGAUUAUCAAAUUUUUACUCCCUCCGUCCUAAUUUAUGUGGAACUUUUCGUUUCCCGACAGUUAAUUUGACUAAUCUUAGAAGCUAAAUUGGAUUAGAUAUACUCAGUAUUUUAAAACUAAAAUUUAGAUAUUCAAAGCUAUAUGAAAAGUGUUAUAAGUUGCAAAUUUUUCGCAUGUCAAUGACGAAACAUUUUAAAAUGUUGGUCUUUCAAUCUCGAAAAAACGAGAAGUGCCACAUAAAUUUGGGACAGAGGAAGUAGUUUUUAUUCGCCCUCAUUGGUUAUAUGACGACGACAACAACAACAACAACAACAACAACAACAGCCCAGUGAAAUCCCACAUCUUGGGGUCUGGGGAGGGUAUAAUGUACGCAGACCUUACUCCUACCAAGGUAGGAUGACAUGAUACAAAUUCUUAAAAUGUCCUGUAUGAUGAAGUAAGUCAUCUGUUUUACCGCUUCAGAUUGGAUUUUCCUGUCAAGUACCUAUGGAUUCUAAUUGUGAUAGAGCUUCAUUUUGUCCAUGUUGUGUGUUGUCUAUGGAUUUUGAUUUUGAUUUUGAUAUGUUGACGAGCGUAAAACCGUGGUAUAUAACUAAAGCUCGUGCUUGUUAAAGACAGUAUAGAUGACUAUCUUGCUAUCAACUAUUCAGUAUUGCUUGUUUGCUAUUUGAGAAAUUAGAAAGUUGAGGAAUGAUUCUUGACUAAAAUGAAAUAAAGUAAAGCAAGAGUACUUAGACACAACUAAAGGCAAAGGUUUCUAAUCAAUUGAUUAUAGUAGUCGAAUCUGAACUUCACCUGUGAUUAACAUAUCGUGUUCGGUUUCCUCAUGUUCAAUCUUUUAUAAGUUUAUGCCUCUUUCGCUCAACUAUUACGACCUUCUUAGCUAUAGAUACGAGUAAAUAUCUCAAAAGGUCACUGAACUUUAAGUAGUUAUGUGGCAAAAUUACUAAACUUUGCUACAUAUCAAAAAAAUCACUCAACUUUGGCCUUUACUCUCAUAAAAUCACUCAACUAAAUGUGUCAUCAGAGAAAUUUGACAUGACAAUAUUAAUUAAUUUUUUAUGUCAUGUAGACAUGAACCCCACAAAUAAAAUAAAAUAAAAUAAAUUCAUAUUUUAAUUUUGGAUAUACACUUCAGUUUUCUCUAAAAUUUAAGGUAUAAAAAUUAAUCUACUACUUUAGACACUUUACGUGUAGAGCUAAGUUGUUAAAUUUCAAUUGACUCAUUGAAAACACUAAUGCCAAUGGAUUUAUUUGUAACCUUAGUUCCAUCGUAUAUUAACCAAAAAAAUUGUUGUUAUUUUUUUUGUUUUUUUUUUUUGUUUUUUGGGGUAAAAAAAUAAAAAAUUGUUGUUGCUUACAAAAGGAAAGGGUCCAACGGGUCCUAUGUGGCCUCUUCCUUUCAGACCAAUAAUAACAUUCACGUGUUUCUAUAUAUUCUUUAAUAGAUUAAUUAAUAUGUAUUUUUAUUUUAUUUAUUUCUUAAUUAUAAUAAAAUUCAUACAUAUUUAUUUGGUGUAAAUAUCUUAUAUGAAUAAGUCUUAUCUAUUAAAUAGAUAUACGUAAACAAAGUAGAAAGAUAAGAAAAUAGAGACGAAAAGAAAGAUUGUAGAAGCUAAAAAGAAGGACAAUGCAAUAAAUAAAUAAGAAAAUAAUUUCAAGAAAAAGAAUAAGAGCACACAUAAAAAUAAGGUAGAAAUAACAAAAAAAAAUGAGUUUUAAAUGAAGGGUUGGUGGGUGGAUGUUGAGGUAUUAAAAUAUGAUUUUUUUUUAAUUUAUGGGGUCCAUGUCUACAAGACAUAAAAAAAUUAAUUAAUAUUGUCAUGUCAUAUUGUUUUGAUGACAUAUUUAGUUGAGUGAUUUUAUGAAAGUAAAAGUCAAAGUUGAAUGAUUUUAUUGAUAUGUAGUAAAGUUUAAUGACUUUACUACAUAUUUACUCCUAUAGAUACUCCUCUUCAUUAUACUAAUAACAGAGGAAUUGUAAUGCCUUAAGAAGUUUUGAGGAUUCUUCAUCUAAUCACUUUCUUUGGACACCUCUCUCGAUUACACAAAACUAAUAUAACAUUCUUUACUAGAAGUAUCUCUUUUGAUUAUACAAAUAGCAAAGGUUAAAUAGUUACUUAAGAGUGGAAGGUGGUUGAUUGAUUAGCCUUAGAUUCCAUAGGUAGAUAUAAACCCUUUUGGUUACCUAUAUAUGAUCAGAAGUACGUUUAGACUAGUCUCUCCUUUCGGUUAACACAAGAAUGAACUAGUUAUAAUCAUUCAAGCACAAUUGGGAUAAUAACGGGUUCAAACAACCUCUUUGGAUUAACAGUUUGAUUUCACAAAAGGGUUAUUGCAUCAACAAAUGAUGCAAAGAGGAAAUUAAAAGUAGGAUUAAAUCAUAGGAUUAAUCUAAAUCCAACUACAAGAAAUUUAUUCUGUAGUGGAGUUCAAUCCAAAUAAAUAUGUAUCAAAGUCACAAGAAACAAUGGGUACAAAGAGAAAUUAAAAUCUGAGGAGAAAGGACUCCCAAAAUCUUGUGUUUCUUCAGAUUUAGCAGCCAAUAGGCGUCCAAAAGUCUCCCAACAAACUCAUAAUCAUACCCUGCUGUGAUGACCUAAUCACAAAUUUCUGUGCUUCAGUUUUUUGUAUCAAGUGCUGCAGCACUCAGUAAUCAAAUAUUGUAGCAUUUCUGCUGUUUUUGGCCUUCAAAAAAAUGCUGGUCAAGUGUUGGUUCUUCAUUUAGGCUUCUUCAAGUUUCCUUUUCCUCAAUUCUUGCAUCUCUUUUCCUUGAUCUUUGUGUUUCUUCAUCCUCUUUCCUUUGUUGCAUGGUCUAUUAACAAAGUAACAUACUAACAUGCAUUUGUGAGGAAUCAUACGAUAUAAUGCUUAAAACUCAAAAAUUGAAGCAUAAAAAGGAUAUAAACAGGUGUAUAAAUAUGACUCAUCAUUUUUGCUUUGAGUGUCAAGUUCAGGAUUGGCUUCGAGUAGCCGAGAGGCUAAAGAAAAAGGUCAUGUCCGUCAAAUGAUGAAGAGAAGAAGGAAAUGUCUCUUGUUUGUUGUUCUUUUGCAGUUGGUGGUUUGAUGUAUUUCGUGGUUUGUGCUAGGUUAGAUAUUUGCACAUGGUUCACAAGGUUUUACCAUUGCAAGGCUUAGUUGCAAUUCUGGUCUGCUUCAAAAGAAAUAAAGGAUUUCAUCUAUCAUUUUCAUAUAUCAAAGUUUUAUCUACUUGUUUUUUUCUUUUUAUUUUUGUUUUUGCUAAAAAAUUGAUGGCAUGAAUCAAACUUUAUUGAAAAUAUUAUAGAACAAGUCCUACGAGAGGUCAACCAGACACCUCUAGAUGUUGCUUGGUACCCAAUUGGAGUAGAUUCUCGUGUAAAAAAUAUAGAGUCGUUAUUGAAAAGUCAAUGUGAAGAUGAAGUUCGCAUGGUUGGUAUAUAUGGCAUUGGUGGAACUGGAAAAACAACUCUGGCAAAAGCUAUCUACAACUGAAUACUUCGACAAUUCGAUCGUAGUUGCUUCCUUUCAAAUGUUAGAUCGGAAGCAGAAUCAUAUGGUCUAGUCAAGCUACAAGAGAAUCUUCUUCAUCAAAUUCUCAAAACUAAGGAUUUCAAAGUUAGUGGUGUUGCUAAAGGCAUCAAUUUAAUCAAAGCAAGACUUCGGUUAAGGAAGGUUGUAAUUGUUCUUGAUGAGAUGGACAAUAUAAGACAAUUAGAAUGUUUAGCAAGAGAAAGAAGUUGGUUUGGUUUAGGUAGUUUAAUAAUUGUUACAUCGCGAGAUGAACAUUUGCCUAAGUUACUCGGACUCUUCGAAAGUGUUGCCGCACCCGUGUCGGAUCCUCCAAAAAUACACUACUUUUGAAGGGUCCGACAAGCACCUGACGACAUUUUUGGAGAGUCCGAGUAACUUAGACAUUUGCUAUACUCAGAGUGUUUUCCUUGAUAUUGCAUGCGUCUUUCAUGGGUUUGCUAAGGAAGAAGUGACGAAAACGUUAAAUGCAUGUGGUUUUUAUUCUGAAAGUGCAAUUGCGACUUUGGUCCGGAAAUGCUUGCUCCAAAGUGCAAGGCCUCUUUUAGUGAUGCAUGAUCAAGCGUGAGAUAUGGGAAGAGAAAUCGUUCGCAUGGAAUCACCCCGAGACCCUGGAAAACGGAGUUGAUUGUUCAAUCCUCAAGAAGUCCGUGAUGUUCUACAAGGAAAUAGAGGUUCUGAACAGGUAGAAGUACUGGUGGUCGAUUCAGAGGCGAUAAAUGGUUUGGACUUGAGCACCAAAGUAUUCAAGAAAAUGAAAAAUCUUACGGUGCUUAAAAUCGAUGAGUUACAUAUUAGUAGAGAUCUUGAGCUGUUGUCCAAGGAGCUCCGAUGGUUGUCUUGGCAACGAUGUCCUUUAAAAUAUAUACCAUCAAAUAUUCCUGCUGAGAAACUUGUAGUUUUAGAUAUACAAGAGAGCAAUAUCCAAGAAUUUGGUUUGAAUUUACAGGUUCGUUACUUCAUUUUACAAUUUGAUGUGUACUGUUACUUUAAAAAAAAUGGCUUCCGGGUCAGCUUGGACGGACCUCGACUAAUUUCACGGGAUACCAUGUCACCUAGUAUUUUUAUCUCUGCCGGAUUAGAACCUGAGACCUCAUGGUUUUCAACCCGCUUCAUUGACCACUAGGUCAUACCCUUGUGUGCUUUCAUGUGUGCUGUUAUUUCAACUAUAGUGAAAGGAAAUCUUGCUUGAGUUUAUAUUUGGUUUACUUUUUAGUGUUGUAAAAGUCUGAAGGAGCUGGAUCUCUCUGAUUGUAAGCGCCUUAGAAGAACACCAAACUUCAAUGAUUCACGAAGUCUUGAGAAUUUGCGAGUUGGUGGUUGCUCAAGGCUGACGAAGAUCCAUGAAUCAAUAGGAAAUUUGGACAGACCGAUUGAUCCAGAUUUGGAUGGUUGCAAAAAACUUACGGAUCUUCCAAGCAGCAUAUGCAAGCUAAAAUCACUUGAAUUCCUGGACAUUAGUAGGUGCUCAUCUGUACAAACACUGCUAGUUGACCUUGGUGAUAUUCUAAGUCUAAAGCAUCUUUCUGCAGUUGGUACGGCUAUAAAACAAUUGCCUGGAUCUAUUGAAAUGCUAAGAGACCUCGUACUUUUGAAAGUGGGAGGUCGAAAUAUAGAGGCCAAAAGGAGUUUUUCCGGAAGAAGAUUCCGUACCAUACAAUCCUUGUCAACUUUUCUUUUGGAUUUAAGCCUUACAUAUUGUGGUUUAUCCGAGGCUGAUAUUCCUAUGGGUAUCAGGAAUUUAUCCUGCUUGAGAAAUUUAGAUUUGAGUGGCAAUAGUUUCCAUUGUCUUCCCUUUGGCUUUUCUAAGUUACGAUCGUUGAGGUUCUUGGGUUUGAACGACUGUGAGAAUCUUCAUAAUAUCUCAACAGUUUUUCGCUUGCAAAUUACAAAAAAUUGGUCAAGAUUACAGAUUUGGACAACCUCCCUUCCAUAGAGUUGGUCAACAUGCUUACUUGUAGUUCUCUGCAGAAUCCAUUCAACAAAUGCUACUCGCAUCGUAAAAUAUCGCAAUCUGUUUAGUCUCCCCUGC
This is a long non-coding RNA of Lycium barbarum (goji berry), 7076 nucleotides long. RefSeq lists it as uncharacterized. NCBI's taxonomy places the organism in Eukaryota, Viridiplantae, Streptophyta, Magnoliopsida, Solanales, Solanaceae. The record is from RefSeq and is a predicted model, not a curated record. The transcript is spliced from 3 exons.